CGGACCCUUAGGGAGAGUGGGACAAAGACACCGGCUGGACAGAGAGGCAGAAGAUGUUACAUGAAAUAAUGACCUCCACUGCUGGUAAAGAAAUGGUCAACGGAAAGUUCAACGGAGAGUCCGAAUGAGUGUGUUAGAACAGUGAACAGGUAGGCUAUGACGCCUGCGAGGAAACAACGGUUCGGAUGCGACGUGGCGGCGGACGCAAGAUGGAGAUCAGCGGGUGAACCCUCCCUCUCUAAGCAGCACUGGCUGUCUCUCCCCCUCCCUCUCCCCCACCCUGACCCCCACCCUCAGCACUGGCC
RNAcentral lists this long non-coding RNA (305 nucleotides) under Salmo salar (Atlantic salmon). Its description in RNAcentral is "lncRNA (ENSSSAG00000086499.1, ENSSSAG00000115422.1)". Lineage: Eukaryota; Metazoa; Chordata; Actinopteri; Salmoniformes; Salmonidae. The record is from RNAcentral.